Molecule: microRNA precursor, 202 nt
Organism: Oryza rufipogon (brownbeard rice)
Lineage: Eukaryota; Viridiplantae; Streptophyta; Magnoliopsida; Poales; Poaceae
Rfam family: MIR812 microRNA precursor family
Source: Rfam
AAUAAGUGUAGCGAGUUUCCGUGCCCAAUUUUGAUCGUUCGUUUUAUUUGAAAUUUUUUUAUAAUUAGUAUUUUUGUUGUUAUGAGAUGAUAAAACAUGAAUAGUGCUUUACUCGUGACUUAUGUUUUUAAUUUUUUUCAAAAAAUUUUUAAAUAAGACGAACGGUUAAAGUUGGGUGCGGAAAGCCAUGGCUGCACUUAUU